UGAGCAAUCUGCCCUUCUCAUCGGAAUAAGCGUUGGAAACGACGUCUAAUGCCGAAUACGACCUCCUUUCGCAUGAUCGGAGGUGGAAAGCUCCGGCGGAGAAGGAUGAGCUCGCGGCCUAUCAGCUAGUUGGUGUGGGUAACGGCCCACCAAGGCGACGACGGGUAGCCGGCCUGAGCGGGUGACCGGCCACACUGGGACUGAGACACGGCCCAGACUCCUACGGGAGCAG
Molecule: ribosomal RNA, 232 nt
Filed under: uncultured bacterium
Lineage: Bacteria
Description: partial 16S ribosomal RNA
Rfam family: Bacterial small subunit ribosomal RNA
Source: RNAcentral